UAACCACUCAAGCCUUUGCUUGGUCUUGGGGCUCGCGGUUCCGCGGCCCCUAAAAUCAGUGGCGGUGCCUGUCGGCUCUACGCGUAGUAAUACUCCUCGCGUCUGGGUCCGGUGGGUGACUUGCCAGCAACCCCCAACUUUUUUCA
This 146-nucleotide unclassified non-coding RNA is filed under the name uncultured Cadophora. RNAcentral describes it as "sequence contains ITS2". The record is from RNAcentral. Lineage: Eukaryota; Fungi; Ascomycota; Leotiomycetes; Helotiales.